Molecule: long non-coding RNA, 1320 nt
Organism: Cavia porcellus (domestic guinea pig)
Lineage: Eukaryota; Metazoa; Chordata; Mammalia; Rodentia; Caviidae
Exons: 2
Source: RefSeq, a predicted model, not a curated record
UAUGGUUUUUUCUUUUCUCCCCAGGGUGGAGUCUUGGUGAGGCAAGGUGAUCUGGAAGUCACUUUACUCAGUUCUCCUGCUUACUUUCAAUUUGGUUGAAUGUGAAUAUUAGUAGAAGAGUUUUUCAGAGAACGGGAGCUGAAAAGCAGAGGGACAUCAGAGCUGGCUCCUGCCUUGAGCAGCUCACAAGGUGGAACUCCAGUUUUGGAUCGUGAAUCGUCCUGCUUCAAUCUCCUCUCGGUGCUGGGAUUACUAUGCUCCUGUUCAAGGAGGGGCAGGAGGGACAGAUGAUUAGUGGAGGAGGAACUGAAAAGUUGCAACUGGAAAUUAUUUUUCUCCGGAAGUUUGAUGAGAAAGACACAGCAAGCCCGAAACAUCACAUCUGUGUCCCCCCAUUUCACCCCCACCCUCUAAUCAAGUGCCCGCUUCCCUUCUAGAUCAUAAACCCCAUGAGGCCAGCGUCAGACCUGCUGCUGGGCAGGUUGCUCACCAGCACCCCUCAUGGCAUCUUUGCACUAUAUUCAGGGUGGGACCCGGUCGGCAGGUGUGUGAUGAAGGACACUAAGCCCACUGCUUGUGCCCCACCUCCCUGCACAUCCCCAGAACACAAAGGCCUCCUAAUUCACUUGGCCCAGGAGGACAAUUAGCCCCGGGAGAUCCAAACUCCCCACCACCCUUUGGCCCGCAGGCAGGGACGACUCGGCCCCUGCUGUCACCCUGGCCUUGGCCAACUUCUCCACCACAGUCUGCCAUCUUUCUUUGCCUUCUUGGCAGGCCUGGGCAUGGAUUUCCAGGUCUCCCAGUAAAUCUCUCCCCAACACCCUAAUACCAGCGCAAGGUGGAAAUAAGGGGGCUCUGGGGAAAGAAAACCCCACCCAGAAUGGUACCCAAGGUCUUCCUCCAUGGCUACCCAGGGACCCCUACAUUCGUGUGUCCCCCUGGUCAAGAAUCUGUCUUCUCCCACUUUGGUCUCUGUUGGUUUCCUUUUUUCCCCUGGAUUAGGCCAUGGAGAGAAGUGAAAAGGGGAACCAAAAAGGCAGUGUCUUCCGGGCCGCAGUCUUUGUAAGUGCAGUGGUGAAUCCACUAGGUCUCUUUAAUGUCUUUAGGGGUCGCACACGCACACAGACCAGAACAAGGCGGGGAUCCCCGAGGUGAGGACAAGGAGCUGGGACUGGGAGGUGCGCAUCCCGGUGUCUCUUCUGCCCGGCUGCCCACGCUGGGCCGGGCUGGUGAAAGGGGUAUUUACAGAGCAGGGACUCGGUUCUUAUCUCGGGGCGCCAGGUCCUUAAACCAGAGACCUUCCAAAUUUCCUUCCAAAAA